CCUACGGGGGGCAGCAGUGAGGAAUAUUGCACAAUGGGGGAAACCCUGAUGCAGCGACGCCGCGUGAGUGAAGAAGUAUUUCGGUACGUAAAGCUCUAUCAGCAGGGAAGAAAAUGACGGUACCUGACUAAGAAGCCCCGGCUAACUACGUGCCAGCAGCCGCGGUAAUACGUAGGGGGCAAGCGUUAUCCGGAUUUACUGGGUGUAAAGGGAGCGUAGACGGCAGCGCAAGUCUGGAGUGAAAUCCCAUGGCUUAACCAUGGAACUGCUUUGGAAACUGUGCAGCUAGAGUGCAGGAGAGGUAAGCGGAAUUCCUAGUGUAGCGGUGAAAUGCGUAGAUAUUAGGAGGAACACCAGUGGCGAAGGCGGCUUACUGGACUGUAACUGACGUUGAGGCUCGAAAGCGUGGGGAGCAAACAGGAUUAGAUACCCUAGUAGUC
This 440-nucleotide ribosomal RNA is filed under the name uncultured bacterium. RNAcentral describes it as "partial 16S ribosomal RNA". It matches the Rfam family "Bacterial small subunit ribosomal RNA", at positions 338 to 795 of the family's 1533-position model. The record is from RNAcentral.